CGUUUCUCCGCCGGCGACCGGCGCACGGGUGAGUAACACGUAUGCAACCUGCCCCGUGUCAGGGGGACAACCCGCCGAAAGGCGGGCUAAACCCGCGUACAUGCCACCGGGGCAUCCCGGAGGCAGGAAAGGCUUCGGCCGGACAGGGAUGGGCAUGCGGCGCAUUAGGCAGUAGGCGGGGUAACGGCCCACCUAACCGACGAUGCGUAGGGGUUCUGAGAGGAAGGUCCCCCACACUGGUACUGAGACACGGACCAGACUCCUACGGAAGGCAGCAG
This 278-nucleotide ribosomal RNA is filed under the name uncultured bacterium. RNAcentral describes it as "partial 16S ribosomal RNA". It matches the Rfam family "Bacterial small subunit ribosomal RNA", at positions 76 to 354 of the family's 1533-position model. The record is from RNAcentral.